CUGGCUCUUCAUAGCCCGCCCCGGCUGUCAGCGCUGCCACGGACGGGCCAUGGAGGUCACGGAUGAAGAGUUGCCGGCGUCGUGCAGAAUUACCUGUUCUUACGAUGUAGGCUGCCCAAAGCCCAGCAGACUGCAGUGCCUUCACCUGCCAGCGAGGUGUGAGCUGUUCCUGCCCCUGGCAGAGCCCAGGGCUCGCAGCCAAGGCUCUGCAUCCAGCCCUCAGAGCACAUCAAACCCACCACACACGUUCUUUCAUCUUGCUUAGUGCACUACAUGAUAGCUAAAACGUACGAGUACUUUUCUUUGUUUGAUCUUUUUUCUGUUCCAGAAAAUACUCUAUUUGUUUCAUAGGACGAGGUUAGCCUUAUUUGAUCAGAACUUGUGGAUGCCUGAGCCAGGAUCCUGUCUGCUGUAGCACCUUGCCUCAGACGCUCCAGAGAAAGUCUCAGUACCUUACACUAAGGAGAUGUGUUCAUUUUGUCUCUUUCCUGUUCCAGCACAAGAACUCACUUAAAUUUUCCCUCCACCAACCCCUUUUACUAAUUUGAACCAUUAUUUUUUUUCUUAGCUGAUUCAAUUUUCAUAUCGCCUGUUGUUACUGAAGUGUAUGGGAUGGCAUUAAACACACCAGUAUUUAGGUCAGCCUAAGAGUGGACUGAAUAACUUGAAUAAUAACUGCUGCAGGCAGCAUCUGCUGUUUCUUGGCUGUUCUUCAAGAUACAUCCUUUAAUUUUCUGUUACUGAUUCUACUCUGCCUAACAGAGGUUAAAACUGUGGUGAUGACAUGGAUGGUAUUUACAUAACUAUUUCCCCUCCCAGUGUUCUCCAGAACUGAUAAACACUCGAGAGUGGACUUGGAUUUCUGAAAACCUUAUUACUGUUUCCUUCACCAAAGGUUCUUAAAGAGAUUUGGUUGCCAUGGAAGAUUAACAUAAAAUCCUUAUUUAAAAUAGAAUAAGGAAUAAAAGGUUUUUACAGUAAAAUCCCCCAGAGUUCUGUGCUAGGAUUUGUACUGUUUAGCAUGCUCAUUUUAGUUUUUUUAGUAUUUUUGCUCGUUUUUAAAUUUCUAGUAGCUUUUGUUUAUUUUAUCCCUCUUUACUUUGUAGUUUCCAUAAUUUUAUGUCCUUUCCUGAGGGUUGAUCCUCAUUCAGAAGCAUCCAGAAAAGAUUAUUCCUAAGGGAUGGCAGUGCUGGAAGGGUGAUCCAGACUGGCUAGGGCAAGGAGUGAGGCUGAGAUCUGUGUAAAAACAAGGCAGGCUGUGCAGGUCGGGUAAUCUGGGAUUAUGUCAGGAGAGAUCAGCCUCACCCGUGUGCUCCUGGCUGCUGCAUCCAGGUCAGACGGGCUCUGGGUGGCUGAGUGUUCACCCAGACAGAGCAGAGUCAGCACUGCAAGGGUUUGGUUGCAUCUGCCUUGAAAUAAAAUCAGCUCCAUACAGGAAUCUGCCCAGUUUUUACAUCUUUCAAGUCACAGCUAAGCGGGGCACAUCCCAGCACUGGGCAGCUGUGCCUGGAGCUCAGCCAUGGGGCAGAAUGGGAACAAAGGGAUCUCUGUGCCUUAUGUAGAAUAAGGUGGCUUGGGUUUAUUUUUUAAGCCUGGUUGGAGAUUUCUUCAUGAGCUGCAGUUUAUAUGAAUGUCUGUCAGUACAUUCUGGGUUUGUGCCAAUCAAGGAUUAUGACCUAUAUUAACAUCCCAGAAACAGGGGAGGCCAGCCAGGCCUGCACCUCAUGCCAGGACUGCAGUUCCAUCUCCUGAUGUCUGAUAUCCACUGUUACUACAUUUUAAAGUCAGGUUUCAAUUACUUCUCUCAACAGGAACUUAUUUAAAAUGUGUUCACUCCUCUUGAUAGUGCAUCCCUUGCCAUCUUGACAAAGCACCUGACAAUCUCUCAGUGAGGGCUGUCUUAACUUUCUUAACAAAACAGAAGAAUGGCAUUUGCUACAAUAUUUAAUUGCUAUUCAUAAAAAUAAAAUGCAGUUCCUAGGGAGGUUUUUUAUUAUUUUCAAUGGGAUUUACAUCAUUAUAUCCAGGAAUAUGAACAGUUCAGACAUAACUCGGUAGCUGGCUGACAAAAGCCCCAUAUCCAGACACUUGAAUUUUCCCACACUUUGUAUGGCAUAAUGCAUCUCACUGAUAGUUAAAAAAUACUGUUGAAAAAUCCUAAUUACAGGACUGCAUCUGAAAGGGAUUUUCCAAGCACCUGGCAACAAAGAUGUCAGAAUGUAAAGACACCAAACACUGACCCUUGGUGGUUAGUCAUGUACUUGCACAUUUCUCGCCUUUAGAAAACAAGAUAGAAAAAUCUUUCUCCACUUUCCAAUCAAAUUUAGUAGCUCAGUUGAUUUGAUUUCUGGAAGUCUGAAGUUUCUGAGCAUCUUUCAAAAGCUUUAGAAGCAUCCAGUAAUCCCCAUGGUGUUCUGUAAUGCUGAGGCACAUCUGAAUUUUUAGAUGCAGAAACCAGAAUCAAAUCAAUUCCCAAUACACGUGCAAUGAAUUACACAAUACAAACUGCUCUGAUACCUGCUGGGCCACACAUCCCUUCACACCUUGUCACAAUCGCUGGCACCUUCCUGCCACUUUUGAAUCAAGCUGUGUGUUGGAAGUUACUCUGUUUUCAUGAAAGCAUUGACUGUUUAGUCUCCAAAUGUGGCCAGUUUAGAAGUUACUAAAUGGAGUUUAUUCAGCAUAACUGAACAUCUAAAAAUCAUAAAAUAGGAAUUAAAAGCCACUGCUGUAAACUGGAGUUGUUUGAUUGGCCAAAGGCUCUCAGUGUCUUGCUGGUCUCUACAGGUUUUGUUUCCCUAUUGCUUUUUCCCUGCAGAUGCUCAGUGGUACUUUCCAGGUCAGUCAAGCCCUGAGGGAAAAGGGAGCAAUGUCAGGAUGAUGAAUGUAAAAUUUUUCACUCUUUUACUGAAGUAUCUGUUUUGUAAAAUAUUUUCCCUGGCUGCUAUAGGAGAUGAAAGUAAUUAAAAUCUAUUCAUUAUCAAAUUAGUAGGAAUUCUGGCUAUUUUGUAUGUUCUGAAAAUUAAUACCUUUCCUGAGAGUAUCUUCAUUAAAGGAGUCUCAUAGUCAGGCUUUUCUGAAAGGUGGCAAUAUUUUCACAUGGAAUAAGCAUCUUUCAAGUAUUUUCACAUUAGAUGGAAAUAUUUUCAUCACUUGAGGCCCUUCUUUGGAAGUCAUUCAACUAUGAGAACAUUUGCUUUAAAUAAAAGAGUGUUUAAGCCAGUGGGAUUCCUGAAAUUCCUGAGCCAUUUAUGCUCUUUUUUACACUUUUCUUAGCACAUCUUAACUCAGUGAACAUUUCCUUAUCCCUACAGAUUUAAUGCUGGUAAGAAACAGUCAUCUCAUUAAAACUCUGAAGGCUUGGGGCAGCACUUCCAGUCUUUUAUAAUUAAUUUUGUUUUGACGAGUCAUUUCUGGGCUCCUUGGUUGCAGACUUCCAGAUAGAGUUAUCUUAGCCCAUGUGAUACAGUGAGUGUGUACAUAAAGUACAGAUGCAUGCACGCCUUUCAUACAGAAUAAUAAUAUUGUUUACUAUAGGAGCUUCAGAAAAAAAUAACAGCUACUUUUCCAAAUAAUACUUAAGGUUUAUCAUAUGCCAGCGAGGUAGGCAUUAAUAAACUCAAAGAGAAAAGAUGGAAAUAGAGCCACAGAACCAAAAUCUGUGAUAUCUCAUUAAAUUCCAUAAAAAGCUGUACUGGAGACAAAGCAGGCCCGAGGUGGAAAAUUACCAACCUAUAUUUACAAGAGAUACUGUGACCAUAUUUUGUAAUUGCAUCUUUUGGCUUCAUCCAGCAAGAGAGAAACGGUAACAUCCUUAAGGAAUGAUCUGUCUCAACUAUUUCAGGGAAACAUCUCAGAACUGGCAACUUUUAAGGACAGUGACUUGAACAGAAUAAAAUAUUUACAGAAUAAAA
Sturnus vulgaris (Common starling) is the source of this 3914-nucleotide long non-coding RNA. RefSeq lists it as uncharacterized. Lineage: Eukaryota; Metazoa; Chordata; Aves; Passeriformes; Sturnidae. The record is from RefSeq and is a predicted model, not a curated record.